UUCCGGUUGAUCCUGCCGGAAGCCAUUGCUAUUGGGAUCCGAUUUAGCCAUGCUAGUCGCACGAGUUCAGACUCGUGGCGAAUAGCUCAGUAACACGUGGCCAAACUACCCUUCGGAACACAAUACCCUCGGGAAACUGAGGCUAAUAGUGUAUAUCGUACCACCACUGGAAUGAGUGGUACGCCAAACGCUCCGGCGCCGAAGGAUGUGGCUGCGGCCGAUUAGGUAGACGGUGGGGUAACGGCCCACCGUGCCAAUAAUCGGUAUGGGUCAUGAGAGUGAGAACCCAGAGACGGAAUCUGAGACAAGAUUCCGGGCCCUACGGGGCGCAGCAGGCGCGAAACCUUUACACUGCACGACAGUGCGAUAGGGGGAUCCCAAGUGCACAGGCAUAGCGCCUGUGCUUUUCGGCACCCUAAGGCGGUGCCAGAAUAAGGGCUGGGCAAGACCGGUGCCAGCCGCCGCGGUAAUACCGGCAGCCCAAGUGAUGGCCGAUCUUAUUGGGCCUAAAGCGUCCGUAGCUGGCCGCGCAAGUCCAUCGGGAAAUCCACCUGCUCAACAGGUGGGCGCCCGGUAGAAACUGCGUGGCUUGGGACCGGAAGGCGCGACGGGUACGUCCGGGGUAGGAGUGAAAUCCCGUAAUCCUGGACGGACCGCCGAUGGCGAAAGCACGUCGCGAGAACGGAUCCGACAGUGAGGGACGAAAGCCAGGGUCUCGAACCGGAUUAGAUACCCGGGUAGUCCUGGCCGUAAACAAUGUCUGCUAGGUGUGGCUCCCACUACGAGUGGGUGCUGUGCCGUAGGGAAGCCGCUAAGCAGACCGCCUGGGAAGUACGUCCGCAAGGAUGAAACUUAAAGGAAUUGGCGGGGGAGCACUACAACCGGAGGAGCCUGCGGUUUAAUUGGACUCAACGCCGGACAUCUCACCAGCAUCGACUGUGGUAAUGACGAUCAGGUUGAUGACCUUAUCCGAGCCUCAGAGAGGAGGUGCAUGGCCGCCGUCAGCUCGUACCGUGAGGCGUCCUGUUAAGUCAGGCAACGAGCGAGACCCGCACCCUUACUUGCCAGCAGUACCGCGAGGUAGCUGGGGACAGUAGGGGGACCGCCGUGGCUAACACGGAGGAAGGAACGGGCAACGGUAGGUCAGUAUGCCUCGAAUGUGCUGGGCAACACGCGGGCUACAAUGGUCGAGACAAAGGGUUCCUACUCCGAAAGGAGACGGUAAUCUCAGAAACUCGAUCGUAGUUCGGAUUGUGGGCUGCAACUCGCCCACAUGAAGCUGGAUUCGGUAGUAAUCGCGUGUCACAAGCGCGCGGUGAAUACGUCCCUGCUCCUUG
Molecule: ribosomal RNA, 1337 nt
Filed under: Halorubrum sp.
Lineage: Archaea; Methanobacteriati; Methanobacteriota; Halobacteria; Halobacteriales; Haloferacaceae
Description: bacterial SSU rRNA
Rfam family: Archaeal small subunit ribosomal RNA
Source: RNAcentral